RNAcentral lists this transfer RNA (90 nucleotides) under Caulobacter rhizosphaerae. Its description in RNAcentral is "tRNA-Gln". Lineage: Bacteria; Pseudomonadati; Pseudomonadota; Alphaproteobacteria; Caulobacterales; Caulobacteraceae. The record is from RNAcentral.
CCGGCCUGGGCGGGGUGGCCGGCGAGGCCCUGGCCCUGUCGAUGGACGUCGACAUGAUCGCCUUCACCGGCUCGGGCCCGGUGGGCCGGC